GCCUGGCUGGCUCAGUUGGUAGAGCAUGAGACUUUUGAUUUUAGAGUCAUGAGUUCCAGCCCCAUGUUGAACU
RNAcentral lists this transfer RNA (73 nucleotides) under Ailuropoda melanoleuca (giant panda). It matches the Rfam family "tRNA". From Rfam's summary of the family: Transfer RNA (tRNA) molecules are approximately 80 nucleotides in length. Their secondary structure includes four short double-helical elements and three loops (D, anti-codon, and T loops). Lineage: Eukaryota; Metazoa; Chordata; Mammalia; Carnivora; Ursidae. The record is from Rfam by way of RNAcentral.